This 103-nucleotide microRNA precursor is filed under the name Marmota monax (woodchuck). The record is from RNAcentral. Lineage: Eukaryota; Metazoa; Chordata; Mammalia; Rodentia; Sciuridae.
AGUGGGAUAACAGGAUCAAAUGGUGAUUCCAUUCCAAGUUUUCUGAGGAAUCUUCACACUGCUUUCUAUAGUGUUUGUACCAAUUUGCAGUUCCACCAGUAAU